Molecule: small nuclear RNA, 164 nt
Organism: Ochotona princeps (American pika)
Lineage: Eukaryota; Metazoa; Chordata; Mammalia; Lagomorpha; Ochotonidae
Product: U1 spliceosomal RNA
Exons: 1
Source: RefSeq, a predicted model, not a curated record
AAAUAUGCUUUCUAUUAGAAAUUUAGUGAUCACACAGGUGGUUUUCCCAGGCCAGGGCUCAUCCACUGCACUCAGAAUGUGCUGUCCCCUGUGAUUUCCCCAAAUAUGGGGAACUUGACUGCAUAAUUUGUGGUAGUGGGGGACUGCAUUCAUGCUCUCCCCUG